RNAcentral lists this ribosomal RNA (482 nucleotides) under uncultured bacterium. RNAcentral's name for it is "bacterial SSU rRNA". It matches the Rfam family "Bacterial small subunit ribosomal RNA", at positions 28 to 507 of the family's 1533-position model. The record is from RNAcentral.
GACGAACGCUGGCGGCGUGCUUAACACAUGCAAGUCGAACGGAGUUACGUAUGAAGUAUUUCGGUACGGACUAUGUAACUUAGUGGCGAACGGGUGAGUAACACGUGGGCAACCUGCCCUUAACCGGGGGAUAACAUUGUGAAAACAGUGCUAAUACCGCAUAACAGAGUAUCGGGCAUCCGAUAUUUUUUAAAAGGAGCAAUCCGGUUUUGGAUGGGCCCGCGUCCAAUUAGCUAGUUGGUGAGGUAACGGCUCACCAAGGCUACGAUUGGUAGCCGAACUGAGAGGUUGAUCGGCCACAUUGGGACUGAGACACGGCCCAGACUCCUACGGGAGGCCAGCAGUGGGGAAUAUUGGGCAAUGGGCGAAAGCCUGACCCAGCGACGCCGCGUGAAGGGAUGAAGGUCUUCGGAUUGUAAACUUCUUUGAUCAGGGAGAAAGAAAUGACGGUACCUGAAGAACAAGCCACGGCUAACUACGUG